GUGUGCGUUUGUGUGUGUUGAGAGACACUGGGGAAGAGAGAGAAGGGGGUUACCUAUAGAGCACAAAGCCAUGCAUGGUAGAGGUCGGAGUGGAGUUCUGUCGAUGGUACCUAAUGAUCUCUGUGUAGCUUCAUAUGCGCCAGAAGGCACCAUCUUCCCUGCGACAGAACGCCACUGCGCUCUCUCUUUCAAUUAUUAAAGAAACUUUCUUC
RNAcentral lists this unclassified non-coding RNA (212 nucleotides) under Hevea brasiliensis (rubber tree). Lineage: Eukaryota; Viridiplantae; Streptophyta; Magnoliopsida; Malpighiales; Euphorbiaceae. The record is from RNAcentral.